This 16-nucleotide small RNA is filed under the name Arabidopsis thaliana (thale cress). RNAcentral describes it as "ATSL184260". Lineage: Eukaryota; Viridiplantae; Streptophyta; Magnoliopsida; Brassicales; Brassicaceae. The record is from RNAcentral.
UGGAAGAUGCUUUGGG